GAUGAACGCUGGCGGCAUGCCUAAUACAUGCAAGUCGUACGCAAUCACUUUUUUCGCUCGCAGCCGUGGAAUGCAAGUUCCACCAUUGCGAGCGGAAGCAAUGAGUGAUUGAGUGGCGGACGGGUGAGUAACACGUUGGUACCUGCCCCGAAGUGGGGAAUAACUGCUCGAAAGGGUAGCUAAUACCCCCAUAGUCUACGGUUUAUCCGUAGUAAAGAUUUAUCGCUUCGGGAGGGGCCUGCGUCUGAUUAGCUAGUUGGUUGAGGUAAUGGCUCACCAAGGCGACGAUCAGUAGCUGGAUCGAGAGGUUGACCAGCCACACUGGGACUGAGAUACGGCCCAGACUCCUACGGGAGGCAGCAGUAAGGAAUCUUCCACAAUGGGCGAAAGCCUGAUGGAGCAAUGCCGCGUGCAGGAGACGCUUUUCGGAGUGUAAACUGCUUUUC
This 446-nucleotide ribosomal RNA is filed under the name uncultured bacterium. Its description in RNAcentral is "bacterial SSU rRNA". It matches the Rfam family "Bacterial small subunit ribosomal RNA", at positions 28 to 438 of the family's 1533-position model. The record is from RNAcentral.